RNAcentral lists this unclassified non-coding RNA (87 nucleotides) under Pseudomonas fragi. Lineage: Bacteria; Pseudomonadati; Pseudomonadota; Gammaproteobacteria; Pseudomonadales; Pseudomonadaceae. The record is from RNAcentral.
UGUGGGAGCGGGCUUGCUCGCGAAUGCAGCACCUCGGUGACUCAGACAUACCGAGUUGAUUGCAUCGCGAGCAAGCCCGCUCCCACA